This is a non-coding RNA of Schistosoma margrebowiei, 46 nucleotides long. NCBI's taxonomy places the organism in Eukaryota, Metazoa, Platyhelminthes, Trematoda, Strigeidida, Schistosomatidae. The record is from Rfam.
CCACUACUGAGGAGUCUUAGAAUAGGACGAAAUGGCCGUCGAGUGU